GCGGGCCCCCCUCGGAGGCGGGUGAGCCCCCAUCUUCAAGCCCAGGUUAAAGACUACAGACUUUGAACUUUCCGCAGGUCUGCAAGGGCAGGCCCCUCGCCCGCAGGCUGGAUCCUAGGUCACCCCCAAGCGCCAGCCGGCCUUGCUGCCAGCACUUGGGCCGCGGGGUGGGGCGCCGGGCGCUUCCCGGGAUCGCAGCCCCUCCCCCGCCCCAGCCGGGCGCGCGUUGGUACGUCCCGGCCCGCCCAGGUGGUAGCGCCCGCGCCGGCCUACCGUAAUUCCCCUACGUCCGGCGCCCCCCGCCGGCGCAGAGCGGACUGAGCCCGCCCCGCGCCUCCGGUGCCCCUCGCUCUGCGGGCCCCGCGGAGCUUUGGCAGCCUAGGCCCAAGCCCCAGCCACUGGAGAGGAGACCCAUGUCCCUAGGUAUGCCACCACGCCGACUGCCAGCAGCUGCACCGCCGGGGGCCCCUCAACCUCUGCGAGGCCUGUGACAGCAAGGUCCACAACGCCAUGCAUUACGAUGGGCACGUCCGCUUCGACCUGCCCCCGCAAGGCUCUGUCCUGGCUCGGAACGUGUCUACCCGGUCAUGCCCCCCACGCACCAGCCCUGCGAUGGACCUGGAGGAGGAGGAGGAGAGCUGUAUGGAUGCCAAAGGGGACCGGAGGAGCACGGGCCUGAAACUCUCCAAGAAAAAAGCCAGGAGGAGACACACAGAUGACCCAAGCAAGGAGUGCUUCACCCUGAAAUUUGACCUGAACGUGGACAUCGAGCCGGAGAUUGUACCGGCCAUGAAGAAGAAGUCGCUGGGGGAGGUGCUGCUGCCGGUAUUUGAAAGGAAGGGCAUUGCCCCGGGCAAAGUGGAUAUCUUCCUGGACCAGUCCAACACACCCUUGUCCCUCACCUUCGAGGCCUACAGGUUCGGGGGACACUACCUUCGGGUCAAAGCCAAGCCAGGGGAUGAGGGGAAGGUGGAGCAGGGGGUGAAGGACUCCAAGUCGCUGAGUCUGCCAAUCCUGCGGCCUACUGGGGCUGGGCCCCCCACCCAGGAGCGCGUGGACCCCCAGAUCCGCCGGGAGAGCCUGGACAUCCUGGCCCCCGGCCGCCGACGAAAGAACAUGUCAGAGUUCCUGGGGGAGGCGAGCAUUCCUGGGCAGGAGCCCCCCACGCCUUCCAGCUGCUCUCUGCCCAGUGGCAGCAGUGGUGGCAGCAGCAGUAGCGGUGGCAGCGACAGCUGGAAGAACCGGGCAGCCAGUCGCUUCAGCGGCUUCUUCAGCUCAGGCCCCAGCACCAGCGCCUUCGGCCGGGAGGUGGACAAGAUGGAGCAGCUGGAGGGCAAGCUGCAUGCCUACGGCCUCUUUGGGCUGCCCCGGCUGCCGCGGAGGCUGCGCUUCGACCAGGACUCAUGGGAGGAGGAAGGCGACGAGGAGGAGGACGAGGACAACGCCUGCCUGCGGCUGGAGGACAGCUGGCGGGAGCUCAUUGACGGGCAUGAGAAGCUGACGCGGCGGCAAUGCCACCAGCAGGAGGCGGUGUGGGAGCUCCUGCACACAGAGGCCUCUUACAUCAAGAAACUGCGGGUGAUCACCAACCUGUUCCUGUGCUGCCUCCUGAACCUGCAAGAAUCUGGGCUGCUGUGUGAGGUGGAGGUGGAGCGUCUGUUCAGCAACAUCCCGGAGAUCGCGCGGCUGCACCGCGGGCUGUGGGGCAGCGUGAUGGCGCCGGUGCUGGAGAAGGCGCGGCGCACGCGGGCGCUGCUGCAGCCUGGGGAUUUCCUCAAAGGCUUUAAGAUGUUCGGCUCCCUCUUCAAGCCCUACAUCCGAUACUGCAUGGAGGAGGAGGGCUGCAUGGAGUACAUGCGCGGCCUCCUGCGCGACAACGACCUCUUUCGGGCCUACGUCACGUGGGCGGAGAAGCACCAGCAGUGCCAGCGGUUGAAGCUGAGCGACAUGCUGGCCAAGCCCCACCAGCGGCUCACCAAGUACCCGCUGCUACUCAAGUCGGUGCUGAGGAAGACAGACGAGCCGCGCGCCAAGGAGGCCAUCGUCACCAUGAUCGGCUCGGUGGAGCGCUUCAUCCACCACGUGAACACGUGCAUGCGGCAGCGGCAGGAGCGGCAACGGCUGGCGGCCGUGGUGAGCCGCAUAGAUGCCUACGAGGUGGUGGAGGGCAGCAACGACGAGGUGGACAAGCUCCUGAGGGAAUUUCUCCAUCUGGACCUGACAGCGCCCAUCCCUGGCGCCUCCCCUGAGGAGACACGACAGCUGCUGCUGGAAGGGAGCCUGAGGAUGAAGGAGGGGAAGGACAGCAAGAUGGAUGUGUACUGCUUCCUCUUCACGGACCUGCUCUUGGUGACGAAGGCAGUGAAGAAGGCUGAGAGGACCAAGGUCAUCAGGCCACCGCUGCUGGUGGACAGGAUCGUGUGCCGGGAGCUUCGGGACCCUGGCUCCUUCCUCCUCAUCUACCUGAACGAGUUCCACUGCGCUGUGGGGGCCUACACGUUCCAGGCCAGCGGCCAGGCUUUGUGCCGUGGCUGGGUGGAUGCCAUCUACAAUGCCCAGAACCAGCUGCAGCAGCUGCGCAUGCAGGAGCAGCCAGGCGGCCAGCAGCACCUGCAGAGCCUGGAAGAGGAGGAGGAUGAGCAGGAGGAGGAGGAGGAAGAGGAGGAAGAGGAAGGAGGGGACAGUAGCACUUCGGCGGCCAGUUCCCCCACCAUCCUGCGCAAAAGCAGCAACAGCCUUAACUCUCAGCACUGCGCCUCGGACGGCUCCACGGAGACCCUGGCCAUGGUGGUGGUGGAGCCCGGGGAGAUGCUGUCGUCCCCCGAAUUCGAGGGUGGCCCCUUCAGCUCCCAAUCAGACGAGACCUCACUCAGCACCACCGCCUCGUCCGUCACGCCCACCUGCGAGCUGCUGCCCCUGUGUCCGGCGGACGGCCGCUCCUGCUCCAUGGACUCCGCCUAUGGCACCCUCUCCCCCACCUCCCUGCAAGACUUUGUGGCCCCGGCCCCCGUGGCGGAGCCGGCCCCCCGGCCCCCAGAAUCACCCCAGGCGCCUUCGCCCCCACCCUCGCCCCGCCUCCGCCGCCGCACCCCCGUCCAGCUGCUGCCCUGUCUGCCCCACCUGCUCAAGUCCAAAUCCGAGGCCAGCCUCCUCCAGCUGCUGUCAGGGGCCACUACCCGGGGAGCGCCCCCAGCCCCCAGCCGCAGCCUGUCGGAACUCUGCUUGGCUGCCACCGUCCCUGGCGCCAGGCCUCGGGGAUCCCCUCAGGAGGCUGGGCCCAGCUGGGACUGCCGGGGGACACCGGGCCCUGGUAGUGGCCCCGGGCUGUCAGAGCUGGAGGGUGGAGCCAGCUGCCCAGGUGGGGAGCCAGAAGGACCCCCCAGGAGGAGCAGAGAGCUGCCCUUGGAGGCCUUGCCCCAGGUCCAGCCUGAGCCCCCGCCGGGGAUCUCGGCCCAGCACAGGAAGCUGACGUUGGCCCAGCUCUACCGGAUCAGGACCACUCUGCUGCUCAACUCCACCCUCACUGCCUCGGAGGUCUGAGCAGAGGGAGGCCCCCAGGGGUGCCACUGACCAAGGGACAGCAGACAACAUGCCUCCUGGAGAGGGCCGGGCAGGACCCCUGCCACCGCCCUCAGGCCCCAGUGUGCACUUUGCCAGGCUGGAUGGAAGUGGAGGAGGGCUCAGCAGAGGCCCGGGCUGCAGGCCCCUUACCAUUGCCACUGUCACUAACCUGCCCCCCAGCCUAGACUGGGUCCCUUGCCCAAUACUCCCUGAGGCCGCCAGUGCCAGUCCUCCCGGCUGGGCUCCAGGGCUGGGACCCUGGCAACCCUUCCCACCUCCGCCCUCAUCUGGCCCCAAAGGGGACACUCCCUUGCCCUCAGGCGCCUCGCUCCCACCCCAUCCCUCUGGCCACCCCAGGCUUGGGUUGGGCUCUGUGUAAAGUUGCAUAUUUAUUGAGCUUUUGAUUCUUUUAUAAAGACUUGUAUAUACUCCACUGGAAAGAGUCCUUUGCUUUUGGAAGUCCCCCCUUUCUGGACUCUGGGUGCACUCGCGUGCCUCCCCGGGUUCCUGCCCCCUCCAGGGGCUGGGUGUGGGGAAGGGAUGGCUGGAAGGGGCUGUGGGAAGCAGAAAUGAAUUAACGGGGCAGAGAUCGCCUGACCAGUCCUUUCAGGAUCCACCCCUGUCCCCGGCCACAGCUGUGAGGCCCACCAUUAGAGCUGUGGGGAGGUGCCCUCCCAGAUGAGGUGCCCUAGGGGACCUGGCCCUGAGCCACCCCUGUGAGGUUAGGCCAGGGUGGGCCUCUGCUGAGAGUGCCCUCCAGGACUCCCCCCCCCAGGGCAGGGACUGUGCAGUAUUGGGGGCUGGGGGUCUCUCACCUGCCAACUUCUGGCCCAACCCCUCCCGGGCCAGAAUGGGAGAGCUUUGAAGUUGUAGUCUCAGGGGUGAAGCCAGAACAAGGCAUGGGGACCCGGCUGUCACCCACCUUGUCCACCCGCUGCCUCAGGUGAGCUCAGGUGCAGGGACCUCAGGCUGAGGCCUCACUUCCAGGGACCAAUGGCCCCGCCCUGCCCCCCCCCCCCGCCUUGAGGCGGGCUCUUGGGGUGGGGGGCGGGCCCUGCGGGCACCAGGCUGGGCCCCAACCACAGCGGGCAGGCGGAGCGGGGAACCCCCGGUUGGAGGGCCCAGCGUGGCGCCCAGGGCCAUGGAGCUGCGGCCAGGGCCAUGUGCGGUGGUGGUAGCUGUGGUGAGUGGGGACUUGGGGGCACGACCUGGGGCCUUGCUGGGCCUGGGUCCCUGCAGUGGAGGGAGGGGCCGGGCCAGUCCCCCUUCCGACCUAGUUAGCGGCUCCACUGGGGCGGAGCCCUUCCGCAGAGAGGAAACACCCGCUCAGGGCCCAGGGAGGUGCGGGGGGGGGGGGUCCCCAGGCGGAGAGAGAGCAUGGUCUCCCCACCUUACCUAAAGCAUGGUGGGGUGGGGCUGCCCGAUUCCUGUCCUGGUGGAAGGGAAACAUGUGCUGGGGCUGCCAGGAACUUUCUAGUCAGCCUCUCCCAAGCCUGGUGUGUGCAGGAGAAGGAAGUCAGUCACCUCCGCCCCCAAGGACCCGGCAGGUGGGCUGCCCUGAGGGCAGAAGCUGGGGCCUCUGAGUGGGGGGAGACUGGGUGGAGAGAGGCUCCCAGCCAGGCAGUGCGGCUGGGAACCAGCGGACCCUGUCCCCCAGGCCCUCCUCCUCCUGCUGCCCGGUGCCCGGGGCCAGGGCAGCACUCCCAGCGCCCACUGUGACUGUGUCCCCAACCAGAAGAGGAACGGUCUGGUCUGUUGCAGGGGCUGUCCAGCCGGUCACUACCUGAAGGCGCCCUGCACAAAGCCUUGCGGCGCUGCCACCUGCCUCCCGUGCCCCCAGGGCACCUUCCUGGCCUGGGAGAACCACCACGAGACCCGCUGUGCCCGCUGCCAGGCCUGUGAUGAGCAGGGUGAGGGGCUGCCUCAUGUUCAGUGAGGGACUCUUGAGGACAAGCCCCGGCCAGGGUCUUUCCGACGGAAGAGGCUGGCUUGUCCCACCCUGGGCUGGGAGGGCCCCGUGCCCACCAGGCAGGCCCUCUCCCCAGAUCUUGCCUGGGCUGCCUUUGUGGGCUCUCAUCCUGACGACCACCCUGUCCCUGGUCGCGCCCCAGCCUCUGGUCUGCUCUGUGGCGAUCCCCCCUCUUCUCUCACUUUGGGGGUGGCCUUGUCUCUGGUGUCCCCAUCUCCACUCCCCGGGGUUCCUGUCCUGCCUCUCUGUGGGGGUCUCUGGCUCUGACAGCCUCUGCUCCCUCGGUCUCCCCCGCCCCCCACCUCCAACCAGCCCCCCAGGUGGCCCUGAAGAACUGCUCGGCGGUGGCGGACACCCACUGCGGCUGCAGGCCAGGCUGGUUCAUGGAGUGCGUUGUCAGCCAGUGUCUCCUUGGCUCCCCCUUUCGCUGCCGCCGGUGCACAGACUGUGGGGCCCUGCACCGCCACACCCAGGAACCCUGUUCCAGCAAAGACGCCCACUGUGGGGCCUGCCUGCCUGGCUUCUACGAACAUGGCAACAGCUGCGUGUCCUGUCCCACGUAACUUCCUGGCUGCCCUGGGCUUGGGGAAGGGAGGCUGAGAGCAGAGGGGGACUCGAGGGGCAGGGAGGAGGGGGCUUGGCCCUGCAGUGGGUGGGCCCACUUUAGGCAAACAUUGGAGGGUAAAGAGAAAUCUGCAUUCAGCUGAUGUCAGGUCAAUACGGGGGCGGAUCUUUUUACGACAGAGUUUCCUUUAGUAACGUUCCAGCCCUGUGUUGAGGAUAAGAUGUGUCACUUACAGACAGAGUCACCAUUAACAGAGCCUCAAAACUUGGGCUGAGAGUCAAGAUCAGCCCCUCGUUCUCUGAGGGAUUUCAGGCCAGUUGCUUGACCUCUCCAAUCUGUGGCUUCCCCAUCGGAACCUGGGGGUUUGAGUAGGCUCCAUCCGGGGUGAUGAUUAAGGGGUGAUUAACUUUAUCUACUCAUCUGUUCAGCAAGUGUCUUUUUUUUUUUUUUUUUUUUUUUUUUUGCUUUGUAGGGCUGCACCCAUGGCAUGUGGAGGAGGUACUCAGGCUAGGGCUCUAAUUGGAGCUACAGCUGCUGGCCUAUGCCACAGCCACAGCCAUACCAGCUCCGAGCCGCACCUGCAACCUAAACCACAACUCAUGGCUGUGCCAGAUCCUUAACCCACUGAGGGAGUCCAGGGAUCAAACCUGCAACCUCAUGGUUCCUAGUCGGAUUUGUUUUCCACUGUGCCACGACGGGACCUCCAGCAAGUGUCUAUUGAGCAUCAUUUCCAGACACUGUUCUGGUUGCUGGGGAAACAACAGGGAACAGAGUAGACAAAUCCCGGAGCUGACAUUCCCCCGAUCUAGUCUAGGAGCAGCUCAGGAAUCCGGGUUUGUUGCUCUUGUUCCUGGGAUGCCAGUGACCUUUUGGCAGCUUAGGGUAGAGUGAGGCUCUCGGGGAGAAGGGCCUCCAGGAUGGAGAGGAUGCCAGGUGGUCCUGAGUGUGUACACACUCACCCUCCACCCCAUCCCCUCCCCUUGCAGGAGCACCCUUGGGAGCUGUCCUGAGCCCUGUGUGGCUGUCUGUGGCUGGAGGCACAGUAGGUGGUCUGCUAGAAAAGGGAGUGGGAGAGCUGGCGGGGGCAAGGGGUGGUUGGGGGACAGCUGCCACCCACCACCCACCAGCUGCUCUUUCAGUGUUCUGGGUCCAGGUGCUCCUGGCAGGCCUGGUGGCCCCACUCCUACUUGGCGCCACCCUGACCUACACAUACCGCCGCUGCCAGCCUUGCAAGGCCAUGGUUCCCGGUAGGUGCGCAGGCGAAUACGCACACUCCUGGAGGCCUGGGGUCAGGCUGGGCAGCCCAGAGCCCACUCAGCCCUGAUUCGGAGGGGGAAACUGAGGCAGGAUGUGCUGGGAAGGGGGUGCAGCUGGACUGGCACCGGGGUUCAGGAGCCUUGCUUGGUGCCUGAUUCAACUCUGUCUCUCUCAGCAGGUGAGGCUGGAGUGGAGGCCCUGACCCCCCUACAGGCCACGCAGCUCUCACCCCCAAACAGCACCCACACCCCUCUGGUGGCAGCCGGCAGUAGUGAGAAGGUCUGCACUGUCCAGCUGGUGGGCAGCAGCUGGUCCCCCGGCUCUCUCCAGACCCAGGAGCUGCCCAGCCCGGAAGUGACAUGGCCCUGGGACCAGCUGCCCAGCAGAGCUCUUGGCCCGCCGUCCCCGCCCUCACCAGCGCCCCCCGCAGGCUCGGCGGCCUCCACGCUCCAGCCCGGCCCGCAGCUCUACGACGUGAUGGACGCGGUGCCAGCGAGGCGCUGGAAGGAGUUCGUGCGGACGUUGGGGCUCCGCGAGGCGGAGAUCGAGGCGGUGGAGGUGGAGGUCGGCCGCUUCCGCGACCAACAGUACGAGAUGCUCAAGCGCUGGCGCCAGCAGCAGCCCGCCGGCCUGGCCGCCGUCUACGCGGCCCUGGAACGCAUGGGGCUGGAUGGCUGCGCCGAGGACCUGCGGAGCCGCCUGCAGCGUGGCCCGUGACGCUAGGGCCCACCCACUAGCUCGGGGCUCUGGUAGCCCUUGCAGAAGCCCUAAGUACGGUUACUUAUGCGUGUAGACAUUUAAUGUCACUUAUUAAGCCCCUGGCACGGCCCUGCGUAGCAGCGCCAGCCAGCCUCACCCCUGCGCGCCCCCAGGGUUCCAGCUAAGGCGAGGAAGCAUCAGCGUUGAGGCUCGGGAGGGCGUUGAGAUUGCUCAGCUGUUUCUCCGCCCGAGUUUGGCCAAGGCCUUGGUAUUAAAUCUACGAAGAAAA
Sus scrofa (pig) is the source of this 8340-nucleotide non-coding RNA. The record is from RefSeq and is a predicted model, not a curated record. Lineage: Eukaryota; Metazoa; Chordata; Mammalia; Artiodactyla; Suidae.